GGGUAACCUUCGCUUGAUUUAGCGGCGGACGGGUGAGUAACACGUGGGUAACCUGCCUCAAAAUGGGGGAUAGCCUUUCGAAAGGAAGAUUAAUACCGCAUAAUAUUGUUUUUUCGCAUGGAGAGACAAUUAAAGGAUGUAAAUCCGUUUUGAGAUGGACCCGCGGCGCAUUAGCUAGUUGGUGAGGUAGUGGCUCACCAAGGCGACGAUGCGUAGCCGACCUGAGAGGGUGAUCGGCCACAUUGGAACUGAGAUACGGUCCAGACUCCUACGGGAGGCAGCAGUGGGGAAUAUUGCACAAUGGGCGAAAGCCUGAUGCAGCAACGCCGCGUGAGUGAAGAAGGCCUUCGGGUUGUAAAGCUCUUUGAUUGGGGACGAUAAUGACGGUACCCAAAGAACAAGCCACGGCUAACUACGUGCCAGCAGCCGCGGUAAUACGUAGGUGGCGAGCGUUGUCCGGAUUUACUGGGCGUAAAGGAUGCGUAGGUGGAUAUAUAAGUGAGAUGUGAAAUACCCGAGCUUAACUUGGGUGCUGCAUUUCAAACUGUAUGUCUAGAGUGCAGGAGAGGAAAGUGGAAUUCUUAGUGUAGCGGUGAAAUGCGUAGAGAUUAAGAAGAACACCAGUGGCGAAGGCGACUUUCUGGACUGUAACUGACACUGAGGCAUGAAAGCGUG
Molecule: ribosomal RNA, 675 nt
Filed under: uncultured bacterium
Lineage: Bacteria
Description: bacterial SSU rRNA
Rfam family: Bacterial small subunit ribosomal RNA
Source: RNAcentral